GUCGAAGUGGCGGAAUGGCAGACGCAGUGGACUUAAAAUCCACAGGGCGCAAGUCCGUGCGGGUUCGAGUCCCGCCUUCGGCACCA
This 86-nucleotide transfer RNA is filed under the name Clostridiales bacterium. Its description in RNAcentral is "tRNA-Leu". It matches the Rfam family "tRNA". Rfam says of the family: Transfer RNA (tRNA) molecules are approximately 80 nucleotides in length. Lineage: Bacteria; Bacillati; Bacillota; Clostridia; Eubacteriales. The record is from RNAcentral.